Molecule: long non-coding RNA, 1013 nt
Organism: Tarenaya hassleriana
Lineage: Eukaryota; Viridiplantae; Streptophyta; Magnoliopsida; Brassicales; Cleomaceae
Exons: 3
Source: RefSeq, a predicted model, not a curated record
AAAAAAAUGAAUGAAUUGGGGUAAGGUGAUAAAAUUAAAAGUUCUGGAAAAAUCUGUUAUUUCAGUUAGGGUCUUUUAGAACGAAAUAAAAGUUUGGGCAGAAUUCGAAAAUUUCAGAAAAUAUGGGAUUGGACUGCAAUUUUUGCUAGGGUUUCUUCUUCUUCUUCUUUUUCCUCCUCCCAUGGCCGACCCUAACACCAUUGUUGCCUAUCUUCCACUCCGAUUUGCCUCCUUGCUCGCCGUCGACCAUCGACCACCGCCCCGUGGCCACCGCUUCAUCACCGUCGGUGAAGAAAAUCUCGAGGUUAUUGAACCCGGGAUCGAGGAUUAGAGCGAAUCUUUCAGAGUUCAUCGUUUAGACCAAGGUGCCAUAUUACUUCAAAAUGGAGGAAAUUCAUUUCUGUUCGAGGAUAAAUACUAGAUGCUACCCGUCGGAGACAUUGAAAAAAUUGAAAGAUCUAUUAACAGCGGAAGAGUGGUUGUACUUUAAGAACGAGUCGCAGUUUCAACAUUUAUUCCAUGUCCAAUUUGAAGACACCCUGAAAAUGGCGCAUGCGGCAUAUCUGAUAAAUCAUGCAGUGAGGGUCAGUGAUGAUAAAGAGCUGUGGUUUUUCUAUAAUGGUGUACCAAUCAGAUACUCGAUCAUCGAGCACGCACUAAUAUGCGGAUUAAAGUGCGGUGAAUAUCCGGGAGGGUGGGAGUAUAAGAGAAAAAGUCACUUUAGAGUUAAGACAUUUGGAAAAGGAAAGGUGACUAAACAAAGUGUGCUCAGGCAACUAGAGAAGACACCUACUCAUAGGGUUGCCGACCGGAAGAAACUGGCAAUUGUGAUGUUACUUGGAGGAGUCCUAGAUCAUGGUACAACAGAUGAUCACAUAAACCAUGAUUUGGUAGACAUGGUUAAUGAUUUGGAGUUUUGUGAAAAAUUUCCUUGGGGACGUUAUACAUUCAAAAAAAUCAUUGAUCAAAUACGAAAGAUCUUCAUGAGUGGAACACCAAAGACUAAGUGGCAU